This 495-nucleotide unclassified non-coding RNA is filed under the name Hevea brasiliensis (rubber tree). The record is from RNAcentral. Lineage: Eukaryota; Viridiplantae; Streptophyta; Magnoliopsida; Malpighiales; Euphorbiaceae.
GCGGUCGAUCACCCCCUCGGGGGCGCCCUUAACGAACAUCUUAUUGCCCACGGCGGCCCGCGACGCUUUGGCGGGGGAGCAAUAAACCGACAUGGACUUCCGGUCUCGCGAGAACUCCAACGUGAACUCCUUCUUCAUCAGCUGCUUUAUCACGGAGUUGCAGGCGUUGGCUCGCUCCACUUUGGAGAGGCUGCGGACGUCCGUGUUGAAGACGUUCAUCUUCUCCACCAGGCACGUCAGCGCCGUCUCCGUCGCCUCCCCCACCUUCUCAUAGAUCCCUUUGGCCUCGUUGUAGUCUAAGGAGGAGUCGUUGCAGAGGGCGCAGAUGGUGGCCAACUCCACCAGGCCGUCGUAUUGGCCCGCCUUGAUGUGCUUCUCGUUCUUCAGCACGUCGCCCUCGGGGGCGUAGGUGGAGCCGGUGAUGGAGAACUCGUUAAGGGAGCAGACGUCGCCCUCCACUUUGUCCACGAUGAACAUCUUGCAGACGGACAUCUG